Molecule: non-coding RNA, 29 nt
Filed under: Mus musculus (house mouse)
Lineage: Eukaryota; Metazoa; Chordata; Mammalia; Rodentia; Muridae
Source: RNAcentral
UNGACUAUCAGUGGCAAGGCCAUGCAUGC